RNAcentral lists this ribosomal RNA (400 nucleotides) under uncultured bacterium. RNAcentral's name for it is "bacterial SSU rRNA". It matches the Rfam family "Bacterial small subunit ribosomal RNA", at positions 975 to 1375 of the family's 1533-position model. The record is from RNAcentral.
CUGGAUUUGACAUGCAGUGGACCGCCACAGAAAUGUGGCUUUCUCGCAAGAGACUGCUGCACAGGUGCUGCAUGGCUGUCGUCAGCUCGUGCCGUGAGGUGUUGGGUUAAGUCCCGCAACGAGCGCAACCCUCGCCCUUAGUUGCCAGCAUUCAGUUGGGCACUCUAAGGGGACUGCCGGUGAUAAGCCGAGAGGAAGGUGGGGAUGACGUCAAGUCCUCAUGGCCCUUACGGGCUGGGCUACACACGUGCUACAAUGGUGGUGACAGUGGGCAGCGAGCACGCGAGUGUGAGCUAAUCUCCAAAAGCCAUCUCAGUUCGGAUUGCACUCUGCAACUCGAGUGCAUGAAGUUGGAAUCGCUAGUAAUCGCGGAUCAGCAUGCCGCGGUGAAUACGUUCCC